GGAGAGAUGGCAGAGCGGUCGAAUGCGGCGGUCUUGAAAACCGUUGAAGGGCAACUUUCCGGGGGUUCGAAUCCCUCUCUCUCCGCCA
Molecule: transfer RNA, 88 nt
Filed under: Ferruginibacter sp.
Lineage: Bacteria; Pseudomonadati; Bacteroidota; Chitinophagia; Chitinophagales; Chitinophagaceae
Description: tRNA-Ser
Rfam family: tRNA
About the family: Transfer RNA (tRNA) molecules are approximately 80 nucleotides in length. Their secondary structure includes four short double-helical elements and three loops (D, anti-codon, and T loops). Further hydrogen bonds mediate the characteristic L-shaped molecular structure. tRNAs have two regions of fundamental functional importance: the anti-codon, which is responsible for specific mRNA codon recognition, and the 3' end, to which the tRNAs corresponding amino acid is attached (by aminoacyl-tRNA synthetases). tRNAs cope with the degeneracy of the genetic code in two manners: having more than one tRNA (with a specific anti-codon) for a particular amino acid; and 'wobble' base-pairing, i.e. permitting non-standard base-pairing at the 3rd anti-codon position.
Source: RNAcentral